CGGCGGACGGGUGAGUAACGCGUGGGUAACCUGCCUCAUACAGGGGGAUAACAGUUGGAAACGGCUGCUAAUACCGCAUAAGCGCACAGUACCGCAUGGUACGGUGUGAAAAACUCCGGUGGUAUGAGAUGGACCCGCGUCUGAUUAGGUAGUUGGUGGGGUAACGGCCUACCAAGCCGACGAUCAGUAGCCGACCUGAGAGGGUGACCGGCCACAUUGGGACUGAGACGCGGCCCAA
This 238-nucleotide ribosomal RNA is filed under the name uncultured bacterium. RNAcentral describes it as "partial 16S ribosomal RNA". It matches the Rfam family "Bacterial small subunit ribosomal RNA", at positions 96 to 334 of the family's 1533-position model. The record is from RNAcentral.